Molecule: ribosomal RNA, 561 nt
Filed under: Triticum aestivum (bread wheat)
Lineage: Eukaryota; Viridiplantae; Streptophyta; Magnoliopsida; Poales; Poaceae
Description: partial small subunit ribosomal RNA
Source: RNAcentral
AUGGCAACAGGCGAGUUCGAGGAGUGCGUCAAUGAAGGCUCGGAGAUUUUGAGCUAUGACUCGGGCACUGCCAAGGCGUACUACCGAAGGGGUCAGGCGUACAAAGCGCUGGGAAACCUCCAGGCUGCUGUUGCUGACCUGAGUAAAGCCCAUGAGAUGUCUCUGGAGGACGAAACUGUCGCUCAAGUUCUGAGAGAGGCGCAAGAAAUACUUGAAACCCAAGGGGGAGCAGCAAACCUGCCAAAGGGAGUUGUCACUGAAGAAGUUGUAGAAGAAGAUAUUAGUUUUCAUCUGUCUACUACUACUACUACUACUACUACUACUACUACUACUGAGUAUACUGCUUCACAACCACAUGACGGAGCACGAAACUCAGUACAAUCUGACUCUUUAGAAAGCUUGGUAAAUAUGUCUCAGGUUGCUUCUUCAUCAAGCGGAACAAUCCCUGUUGCUCCAGAUUUUGGUUCCAGUAUGCCAGGAAUUUCACCGGCUGGCAUGGUUGGUAUGACGGACCCUGCUAUGUGGGAGAUGUUUACAUCUGGAGAACAUGAGUCCCGAUGA